UACGUAGGGGGCGAGCGUUGUCCGGAAUUAUUGGGCGUAAAGAGCGUGUAGGCGGCCAUGUAGGUCCGGUGUGAAAACUCGAGGCUUAACCUCGAGAUGUCAUCGGAAACCAUUUGGCUAGAGUCCGGAAGAGGAGAGUGGAAUUCCUGGUGUAGCGGUGAAAUGCGCAGAUAUCAGGAAGAACACCAAUGGCGAAAGCAGCUCUCUGGGACGGUACUGACGCUGAGACGCGAAAGCGUGGGGAGCGAACAGG
RNAcentral lists this ribosomal RNA (253 nucleotides) under uncultured bacterium. Its description in RNAcentral is "partial 16S ribosomal RNA". It matches the Rfam family "Bacterial small subunit ribosomal RNA", at positions 524 to 776 of the family's 1533-position model. The record is from RNAcentral.